This 604-nucleotide ribosomal RNA is filed under the name Spea hammondii (western spadefoot toad). RNAcentral describes it as "partial large subunit ribosomal RNA". It matches the Rfam family "Bacterial large subunit ribosomal RNA", at positions 1783 to 2603 of the family's 2925-position model. The record is from RNAcentral. Lineage: Eukaryota; Metazoa; Chordata; Amphibia; Anura; Pelobatidae.
AUCUAGGUCCCGCCUGUUUACCAAAAACAUCGCCUCUUGCUUCUCCAGUAUAAGAGGUCCCGCCUGCCCAGUGACUAUAUGUUAAACGGCCGCGGUAUUCUGACCGUGCGAAGGUAGCGUAAUCAUUUGUCUUUUAAAUGAGGACUUGUAUGAAUGGCAUCACGAAGACCUUACUGUCUCCUAUAUCCAAUCAGUGAAACUGAUCUCCCCGUGAAGAAGCGAGGAUUUCACCAUAAGACGAGAAGACCCCAUGGAGCUUUAAACUUAAACCACCUGCUUAACCCUUUACUCCUAUGGGAUAAUCAAUUAAUCAAGCAGUACUGGCUUAUGUUUUCGGUUGGGGCGACCACGGAGAAUAAUAAAUCCUCCAUGAUGAAAGAACACCUCUUAACCAAGAGCCACAGCUCUAAGUAUUAGAAUUUCUAACCUUAAUUGAUCCAAUCUUAUUGAUCAACGAACCAAGUUACCCUGGGGAUAACAGCGCAAUCCAUUUCAAGAGUCCAUAUCGACAAAUGGGUUUACGACCUCGAUGUUGGAUCAGGGCAUCCUAGUGGUGCAGCCGCUACUAAUGGUUCGUUUGUUCAACGAUUAAAGCCCUACGUGA